AGGGGGAUGAGUCCCCGACCUCCAACCCUGCCUCCGGGAACCCCACCUCCCACCCGUGAAUACCUAACGGUGUUGAGUCGGCGGGGAACCCUCUCGGGGGCGAGCCGCCGGGGACUAAUGAACUUCAUGCCUGAGAGUGAUGCAGUCUGAGUUAGAAUAUAAAAUCAAUCAAAACUUUCAACAAUGGAUCUCUUGGUUCCGGCA
RNAcentral lists this unclassified non-coding RNA (204 nucleotides) under uncultured fungus. Its description in RNAcentral is "partial contains 18S rRNA, ITS1, 5.8S rRNA". Lineage: Eukaryota; Fungi. The record is from RNAcentral.